Molecule: ribosomal RNA, 488 nt
Filed under: uncultured bacterium
Lineage: Bacteria
Description: partial 16S ribosomal RNA
Rfam family: Bacterial small subunit ribosomal RNA
Source: RNAcentral
UGGGGAAUUUUGGACAAUGGGGGAAACCCUGAUCCAGCCAUCCCGCGUGUGCGAUGAAGGCCUUCGGGUUGUAAAGCACUUUUGGCAGGAAAGAAACGUCGCGGGUUAAUACCCCGCGAAACUGACGGUACCUGCAGAAUAAGCACCGGCUAACUACGUGCCAGCAGCCGCGGUAAUACGUAGGGUGCAAGCGUUAAUCGGAAUUACUGGGCGUAAAGCGUGCGCAGGCGGUUCGGAAAGAAAGAUGUGAAAUCCCAGAGCUUAACUUUGGAACUGCAUUUUUAACUACCGGGCUAGAGUGUGUCAGAGGGAGGUGGAAUUCCAGCGUGUAGCAGUGAAAUGCGUAGAUAUGCGGAGGAACACCGAUGGCGAAGGCAGCCUCCUGGGAUAACACUGACGCUCAUGCACGAAAGCGUGGGGAGCAAACAGGAUUAGUACCCCUGGUAGUCCACGCCCUAAACGAUGUCAACUAGCUGUUGGGGGCCUUU